UACGUAUGGAGCAAGCGUUAUCCGGAUUUACUGGGUGUAAAGGGAGUGUAGGUGGCCAUGCAAGUCAGAAGUGAAAAUCUGGGGCUCAACCCCGGAACUGCUUUUGAAACUGUAAGGCUAGAGUGCAGGAGGGGUGAGUGGAAUUCCUAGUGUAGCGGUGAAAUGCGUAGAUAUUAGGAGGAACACCAGUGGCGAAGGCGGCUCACUGGACUGUAACUGACACUGAGGCUCGAAAGCGUGGGGAGCAAACAGG
Molecule: ribosomal RNA, 253 nt
Filed under: Lachnospira eligens
Lineage: Bacteria; Bacillati; Bacillota; Clostridia; Lachnospirales; Lachnospiraceae
Description: partial 16S ribosomal RNA
Rfam family: Bacterial small subunit ribosomal RNA
Source: RNAcentral